UCGUAAAUCGAUGGUAGCUGUUGUUGGCAGCUUGAAUCAGGCGUCCGUUGCCGCUGUAACAUUAAUGUUUCUUAGGUACAAUGCGCUAAUAGAGGCGCCGCGAAGUUGUGUAGCUUAAAGCACAAAAAUAUUGUGCGUACUCUAGCAUCCUGACGGUACGUUCUAGUUUUUGCGGCAGGUCUCGGGGCAUUGAGCCUGUGUUGCCGAACGAACGCAAGAACGAGGCCGUGAUGACGAUCGACGCGGCUUAUGAAAUUAUCCGCAAUCACAAAAGACGAUCAGGCAAUAUCAACCUAAUAACAAUGAUAAAGGCAUCUAACUGCUAUGAUGCCUUUUUCCUAAUAAGACUGUGACCGCUUUAAUUAUAUUGGGGGAUUAUUACACCGGAUCUGUGGCACAAAAUUGUGUACGCAAACAGAGCAUUAUAUAGACGUCAGGCAUAAAGUAUUGGAGAACAGCGACAAGGCUAAAAAAAUAUUGCCGGCAUGAGGCAAAUGGCUGGAAGCGGCGAGAUGGAUUUUUAGCUAUAAUCUAAGGAGGCAAGUUCGAUACAACAAAAGCCGCAAGAGACGACAAAAAUUCAAGAGGAAAACUUGCUCAAAAAAAGUUAUACGUAACAUAAAUUUAGGACAAUAUAAGUAAAAAUCUAACAACGAUAUUAUUUUAUGUGCCCACGCACUGUGUUUACGGUAAUUUACAUUUAGGAAAGUGUAACUGUUUUUACAUUUUCGCUAUUGGACAUAUUUUUUAAUAGAAUCCGGUUUGUUUACAGUGUAGAAAUGUGCCACCAGUCAAUCCUGUAUCAGAGCUGUUGAUUCGAUAAAUUGCCCAAAGAUCGAAGAAUCAAUCGGUGCAUGAAACGGAUAUGUUGCAAAAUAUUGUUUCCACUAAUAGAAAGCCGUAACUUCAAUCGAUCGGCUUCUUAGUCUGACCUAGUGGCCUUUAGUUCUUCUUGGCACCGUCAAAAGCGGGAACUGGUCAUGCAUGGUAUCGAUAGAAAAAGAAGCGGGUGCACAUGCUAUAAGGCAGUUCGACUAUGAACCAAAUUGAUAUUUCACAUGCAUCUUCGAAUGUAAAUACUGAAAAUAGUUUCAUUAUCAUGUCUAGUAUUGACAGUAAGCUUAUGCACAGCUUCAGCAGCGCCUAUGUAUGGCUUGGGAAACGAGAUUGAUUUAUAGUAAUUUUUAGAGCAAAAUUUAUAGUAAAUGGGGAAGUUUAAGUGGUCCUAGGUUGGGUAGACAAAACUGCUAUAAUCUCUAUUUUAUUUUCCGAGCCAACUAUGUAGAUCAUAAUUGUAGAGGGCAGAACUGCGAGCGUGUUUGUAAUUAUUCCAUGAAAAGAGAAGGCAAUGUUUCAAAAUUAGCUAUCAUGAUAGGAUAUACACCAAAAUAAUAUAUGCAAACCCCAGGUAUUUGCACCCACUAGCGUGCACAUCAGACUACUUAACCUCUGCCUGAUUGAUUCCAGGGAUAGUCGGUGUUGCUGCUUUAGCUGUCGCCAACAGCGCAUGAGUACCGCACACUUCUUCCCUUCCGGAACUCGCUAGUGGGGAAAAUGCUUUGUGCACAUUCUAUAAUCCUUCUGCUGAAUUCACGCAUCAUGUAGCAUUUCUCCCCAGACCCCAGCAAUUUUGGAACCUGUUUACCCACCUUGCUAGUACUGAAGGUUACCGUUUACAACUGGAAACCAGUGCUUCACCACAUGCUUCACGUGUCGGCUGGCAGAUAUUGUUUAUUAGCUGUCAUUGCUUUCGUUAGCCAGUCAUAUCCGGAAGAGUCGAGGUUUAACGUAGCAGUUGACCAUAUAGAUGUGUUCGCUGAUUGGUACACAACUCUUUUCGAGCCUUCGUUAUGUGCAUAUAUCAAAGAUUCGACAGCGAGCUUACGUAUAUGUUAUUUCAUCACUUUUAUAGAAAGACAGAGUUUUAGAUUCGACUUUUUUUUCCACACAAUUUUAUUUAUUGCUGCUUUAAUUAUAUACUGUUUUAUUUCAUAUCAACGAGGGGUAACGUACAGUUCUGGCUUUACUUUCGUUUACUAAUAUACAACGCUAGGUAAUGUCAAGCAAUCUUCGAUUUGGCGGCGGCGGCGGCAGGUAAAGUGAUGCGUAAGUGGCGUGGCGUGGCGCGCGCCCGGUGCGUGAUGCGCAUUUUGCAAUGGAAUCACAAAUGUGGCUUUCCAGGCCUAUACGACAAUAACAAAAAGAACCAGCACUAUUGUCAUCAUUUUAUUAGGAUUAGGUUGCGAGGGAGCUGGAUUUUAAAAUCUUCGCUUUGGUCCCAAAUUAAUGAAAACACAGUGUAAUGCUGGUGGCAAAGGCUCUGAAUGGGUACUCUUGACGUGCGUUUUUCUGGCGGCAGUUUAUUGCGACAACUAUAACGGUCAGAGAAAUUUGGAAAAUGCUACAGAAAAGCGAGGGAAUUUUCCAGAGAAUCGAUUUUUUUGGCUAUUUAAGUGGCUAUUUGAAAAAAAUGCCUUCAGAUACUUCAGUUUUUAGCAUAGUUGCUUACUCUGUUAAUGUUAAGAACAUGUGUAGGAAUGAAAUUGAAUCUGCUUGUAUGAUUUGUGAUGUUUUUCCCUUCCAUAACUAUUCCUUCAGAGUUGUAUCCGAGGCAGCUUCAGAGCUCCAUCCAUGGUACUUUUGGAAAGCAACCUGAAAAUGAACGACAGGUGUUAAUCUGUUUAAUUCAUUUCACAUGGUUGGUAUAAAUACAUAAUAUGUGCAGGAAGUUGAUGAUCACGUUUAGUUGGCUAGGUGUCAAGGUUUGCAUGUUGGUUACAGUUGGUAAAUUGGCCGGAAUAGGAUCGGGAAUGGAUAAGUUACCAGAUACAACCCUUAUUGUGAUUUACGUUUUGUAAUUGCUAGUGCAUUGUGCGUCGCGUUAUAAUAUGACGGUCACUUCUCGUUUGUUUUCAGCUGCCAUCAGGCUUACCUAGGACCGAGAAAAAUGGAAAGUAUGUUUCGACUAAUUUGACUUUUUAUUCUAUUUGCUUCGGCUUGAAGAACACCAAACAUCUUUGGCCUAUAUUCGAUAAAUGUCGAAGUGUUGAUUAAUAGGUAUCCUAGGCGAAGGCCAGUUGUCACGUGCAAGCCUAGUACUAGUUUCAAGAGUGGCGGCUUUAUUUUGUGCGCAUAUGGUAGACCUCCGGCGUUUGAAUUUUCCCGGACAAUUGGGAUCCUGUAUGUAGCAGUCGGUAUAAUCUUCAGCCCAAUUAAUUUUACUGCUAUUUCGACAAGUACUUUUUGCAGCCGAUGGAUUGUGACAACUGCUAUCAACCAGCUGCUCCCGAACCUUUUCCUUUAUGUGAUCAGAGAAAGAUCUCCUCGUUGCCAUUAACAUGACCAAGCUCGGCAGUGCAGUUGAUGUCCUUUAAUAGACCUUCACCUAUGGAAAGCCCCCAGUUGUGCUCACAUUUUGAGCGUCUCACGCGCGAACAUUGCUAUCAGAAAAGGAUGUACCCGUCGUAGGAAGAUACUUGUAGCCAGACGUUUACUUCGCGAUUCCUCUUGAAGACUUCGGGUCCGUGCGGUCUGCUUUCCUUUUAGGAGAAACCACCAUGAGGACCUCUGCCGAAGCCAUUUCAACGGUAGUGUGUGUGUGGUAACGGCUAACUUGAGGACGAAGAGGGUGGCUUGUUUCCUGCCAACUGGCGCCGUACGAUGAAAUAACGCGGUGAACGCAUCACGAGCCAGUUUUCCGAAUUCAAGAAGCAUUGGACGCUGCCUUUUCAUCCACCAUGGAGACGUUAUACAUCCGAUCUGUUGCUAAUGAGCUCAUCGAAUUUUGUAUCUUCUAACCAGACACUCGAUGGUAAGCUGCAAGUUGUUCGGGCUUCUAAGUUGUUCCACUGCGUAGCCUGACCCGCUGUACCGCCGAGCAUGAAGCAUGCCUAACGGUGAAAACUACCUUCAGCAUUCAACGUUAGGGCUUUCAAAAGGAAAUGUUGGGCUUUUCUGUAUGUAUAUGUUGUAACAGGAUUCUCCGCAAUCUGAGCUCCUGUUGCCAUUGUUGCUACUGUCUGACAAACCUGUAAAUCCAACUCCGUACUAUGCGUCUGCAGUAGUAAAUUAUAGCCUUUCUUAUUGUUGAAAGAGCAGCCUUCGUGCUAGCUGUUUGUUGCUGACCGUACCUACAAAUCGUCGUCUA
Molecule: long non-coding RNA, 4147 nt
Filed under: Varroa destructor (honeybee mite)
Lineage: Eukaryota; Metazoa; Arthropoda; Arachnida; Mesostigmata; Varroidae
Description: uncharacterized LOC111244618
Source: RNAcentral